UACAGAGGUCUCGAGCGUUAGGCGGAAUCACUGGGCUUAAAGCGUGCGUAGGCGGAUGCCUAAGUACCUUGUGAAAUCCCACAGCUUAACUGUGGAACUGCUUGGUAUACUGGGUGUCUUGAGUCACUCAGGGGCGAGCGGAACAAAUGGUGGAGCGGUGAAAUGCGUAGAUAUCAUUUGGAACGCCAAUGGUGAAAACAGCUCGCUGGGGGUGCACUGACACUGAGACACGAAAGCCAGGGGAGCGAACGGG
This 253-nucleotide ribosomal RNA is filed under the name uncultured bacterium. RNAcentral's name for it is "partial 16S ribosomal RNA". It matches the Rfam family "Bacterial small subunit ribosomal RNA", at positions 524 to 776 of the family's 1533-position model. The record is from RNAcentral.